Long non-coding RNA from Tupaia belangeri chinensis (Chinese tree shrew), 980 nucleotides. RefSeq lists it as uncharacterized. The transcript has 4 exons. The record is from RefSeq and is a predicted model, not a curated record. NCBI's taxonomy places the organism in Eukaryota, Metazoa, Chordata, Mammalia, Scandentia, Tupaiidae.
UAUAGCAAAAAUCUCUCUAAAAAAGAAAAAGAAAUAUAAAUUUUUGGAUCCUAUCCUGUAUCUACUGAGUCAGAAAUAUGAAGAUAAGGUCCACCAAUCCAACCCGAGAGGAUUCAGGAGGCACUCUCCACAGGGUGUCCACAUUGGAUUCCAACCACCUCCACCCUGCGGCCAGCCAGGAUCACAGAUGGCAGCACAGAUGGAAAAAUACCAGAAAAACUCAGCAGGCCAGCUUCAGCAUCUGUGAACAGCCUCCAACAGCCUCCUCAACUCACUCUUCCUUCUUUUUCAUUUAUUUAUUUAUUUUAAAAAACCAAACCUGAGAUAAUGUCAGCAGGCUUCCUAAGACAUGCAGAGUACCAUCUAGGCAUGGCCAUUGGCAUCAUUACACUGGGCAUCUGAUACCUGCACACUCCAAGCCACCCGACUUGCUCUAAGUAUUGGAUUCAUAUAAGAGCUAUAACAGUGCUAUUUACUGACCCUCUUGUUAACUGAUGCUCUGAACCUGUUGUAAAUGAUCCCUGUGUCAUCAAAUACUGCACUGAAACUUAGGAAGUUAGCAUGAAGGUAAGUAGUGGUCCUUCAAAAGUGUACAAUUUAUGGUUGAAUUAAUAAUGCAAGAGAAAAGGAGUGAAAAGGUCUUAGAAGACCUUUAUACUUUACAUCAAAACUCCACAAGGCAUUUUUUUAAAACUUUACCCUUCAGAGGUUUAUUGAAUCUCUUCAUUAAACAAUGAAAUGGGGUCUACCAGCAAGGUGUUCUCAACAAAAUCUGCUGACAGAGAGAACAUAAGAAAACUGGCCCCUGCAGCAUAUGGCAUUUCAAGAGCUCAAAAGUGCUGCAAAGAACACUAAAUUGUUCAUGUGUAAUGAAAUGAACAGUAGCUAAAAUGUGACCUAUGCCUUUUAAACAGCAACAACAACAAAAAAAAAAUGACCAUGGAGAAUAAAAAUAUAGUCUAUGAAUAAACUGACCUGAG